AUUGAACGCUGGCGGCAGGCCUAACACAUGCAAGUCGAGCGGAUGAAGGGAGCUUGCUCCUGGAUUCAGCGGCAGACGGGUGAGUAAUGCCUAUGAAUCUGCCUGGUAGUGGGGGAUAACGUCCGGAAACGGGCGCUAAUACCGCAUACGUCCUGAGGGAGAAAGUGGGGGAUCUUCGGACCUCACGCUAUCAGAUGAGCCUAGGUCGGAUUAGCUAGUUGGUGGGGUAAAGGCCUACCAAGGCGACGAUCCGUAACUGGUCUGAGAGGAUGAUCAGUCACACUGGAAGUGAGACACAGUCCAGACUCCUACGGGAGGCAGCAGUGGGGAAUAUUGGACAAUGGGCGAAAGCAUGAUCCAGCCAUGCCGCGUGUGUGAAGAAGGUCUUCGGAUUGUAAAGCACUUUAAGUUGGGAGGAAGGGCAGUAAGUUAAUACCUUGCUGUUUUGACGUUACCGACAGAAUAAGCACCGGCUAACUUCGUG
RNAcentral lists this ribosomal RNA (484 nucleotides) under uncultured bacterium. Its description in RNAcentral is "partial 16S ribosomal RNA". It matches the Rfam family "Bacterial small subunit ribosomal RNA", at positions 30 to 507 of the family's 1533-position model. The record is from RNAcentral.